CCUACGGGCGGCAGCAGUGAGGAAUAUUGGUCAAUGGCCGGAAGGCUGAACCAGCCAAGCCGCGUGAAGGACGAAGGUGCCAAGCAUUGUAAACUUCUUUUGUCAAGGGACAAAAUCAGGCUCGAGAGCCUGACCGAGGGUACUUGAAGAAAAAGCAUCGGCUAACUCCGUGCCAGCAGCCGCGGUAAUAGGGGGGAUGCGAGCGUUAUCCGGAUUGAUUGGGUUUAACGGGUGCGUAGGCGGACUGUUAAGUCAGCGGUAAAAGCCCGGGGCUCAACCCCGGCGAGCCGUUGAGAUUGGCUGUCUUGAGAUGUCGAGAGGUAUGCGGAAUGCGCAGUGUAGCGGUGAAAUGCUUAGAUAUUGCGCAGAACUCCGAUUGCGAAGGCAGCAGACCGGCGGCGAUCUGACGCUGAGGCACGAAAGCGUGGGUAUCGAACAGGAUUAGAUACCCUUGUAGUC
This 459-nucleotide ribosomal RNA is filed under the name uncultured bacterium. RNAcentral's name for it is "partial 16S ribosomal RNA". It matches the Rfam family "Bacterial small subunit ribosomal RNA", at positions 338 to 795 of the family's 1533-position model. The record is from RNAcentral.